AUAAAAGUUGUUGCAGUUAAAAAGCUCGUAGUCGGAUGUCGGGGCGUGACGGGUCCGGUCUGCCGGAACGGUGUGUACUGGCUCGUCUGCCCUUCCUUCCGGUUUGCCGGCGGCUUCCCUUAACUGGGCGGCCGUCUUCGGCUCCGGAUCGUUUACUUUGAAAAAAAUAGAGUGUUUAAAGCAGACUUCACGUCGUCUUGAAUACAUUAGCAUGGGAUAAUGGAAUAGGCUCCUGCGUCUAUUUUGUUGGUUUCUGGAAGCGAGAGAAUGAUCAAUGGGAAUCGUCGGGGGUAUUCAUAUUUAAUUGUCAGAGGUGAAAUUCUUGGAUUUAUGAAAGAUGAACAUCUGCGAAAGCAUCUAUCAAGGAGGUUUUCAUCGAUCAAGAACGGAAGUUAGGGGAUCGAAGACGAUCAGAUACCGUCGUAGUCUUAACCAUAAACUAUGCCGACCAGGGAUUGGGAGACGUUCCAUGUACGACUCGCCCAGCACCUUGAGAGAAAUCACAAGUCUUUGGGUUCCGGGGGGAGUAUGGUCGCAAGUCUGAAACUUAAAGGAAUUGACGGAAGGGCACCACCAGGAGUGGAGCUUGCGGCUUAAUUUGACCCAACACGGGAAAACUUACCAGGUCCAGACAUAGUAAGGAUUGACAGAUUGAGAGCUCUUUCUUGAUUCUAUGGGUGGUGGUGCAUGGCCGUUCUUAGUUGGUGGAGUGAUUUGUCUGGUUAAUUCCGAUAACGAACGAGACCUCAGCCUGCUAACUAGUCAGGCGAACCGUCUGCUCGGGUGAAUGGCGCGCACGGCUCGGGGCUUGUUUCGGCAGGCCCUCCUGCUCGCAGGGAUCCUUGAUGUGUUCGCCGCCGUACUUCUUAGAGGGACUAUUGGUAUCUAAUCAAUGGAAGUUUGAGGCAAUAACAGGUCUGUGAUGCCCUUAGAUGUUCUGGGCCGCACGCGCGCUACACUGGCCGGCGCAACGAGCGUUUACCUUGGCCGAAAGGUCUGGGGAAUCUUGUGAAAUCCGGCCGUGAUGGGGAUAGAUCAUUGUAAUUUUUGAUCUUCAACGAGGAAUUCCUAGUAAGCGCGAGUCAUCAGCUCGCGUUGAUUACGUCCCUGCCCUUUGUACACACCGCCCGUCGCUCCUACCGAUUGAAUGGUCCGGUGAAAUCUUCGGACGGGGGUGUGUAAGCGUCGGGGCAACUCGGCGCUGACACUCCCGGAAGACGAUUAAACCUUAUCAUUUAGAGGAAGGAGAAGUCGUAACAAGGUUUCCGUAGGUGAACCUGCGGAAG
Molecule: ribosomal RNA, 1286 nt
Filed under: metagenome
Description: SSU rRNA
Rfam family: Eukaryotic small subunit ribosomal RNA
Source: RNAcentral